This 75-nucleotide transfer RNA is filed under the name Planctomycetota bacterium. RNAcentral's name for it is "tRNA-Pro". It matches the Rfam family "tRNA". Rfam says of the family: Transfer RNA (tRNA) molecules are approximately 80 nucleotides in length. Lineage: Bacteria; Pseudomonadati; Planctomycetota. RNAcentral also lists the same sequence under 4 other names. The record is from RNAcentral.
CGGGGCGUGGCGCAGUUUGGCUAGCGCGCUUGCAUGGGGUGCAAGAGGUCGCAGGUUCGAGUCCUGUCGCCCCGA